This 70-nucleotide transfer RNA is filed under the name Ovis aries (sheep). It matches the Rfam family "tRNA". From Rfam's summary of the family: Transfer RNA (tRNA) molecules are approximately 80 nucleotides in length. The record is from Rfam by way of RNAcentral. Lineage: Eukaryota; Metazoa; Chordata; Mammalia; Artiodactyla; Bovidae.
CCUGGUGGUCCAGUGGUUAGGACUCCGCACUUUCAUGGCUGAGUGCCUGGGUUCGAUCCUGGCAUCAGGA